RNAcentral lists this unclassified non-coding RNA (329 nucleotides) under soil metagenome. RNAcentral describes it as "partial contains 5.8S ribosomal RNA, internal transcribed spacer 2, and large subunit ribosomal RNA". The stretch from base 1 to 120 matches the Rfam family "5.8S ribosomal RNA", at positions 35 to 154 of the family's 154-position model. The record is from RNAcentral.
GAUGAAGAACGCAGCGAAAUGCGAUAAGUAGUGUGAAUUGCAGAAUUCAGUGAAUCAUCGAAUCUUUGAACGCACAUUGCGCCCCUUGGUAUCCCGAGGGGCAUGCCUGUUCGAGCGUCAUUUCACCACUCAAGCCUGGCUUGGUGUUGGGCGACGUCCCCUUUGGGGACGCGCCUCGAAACGCUCGGCGGCGUGGCACCGGCUUUAAGCGUAGCAGAAUCUUUCGCUUUGAAAGUCGGGGCCCCGUCUGCCGGAAGACCUACUCGCAAGGUUGACCUCGGAUCAGGCAGGGAUACCCGCUGAACUUAAGCAUAUCAAUAAGCGGAGGA